GCCUGGUGGUUCCUUGAGGCUGCUCAUCUGUGCUGAUCAUCAAGGUUGCAUUAAACAGGCAAAUAUAAAUUUCUUCAGUUUAAUGCGUGGGAGUCGCCUACCUUUGUGACCUCCACAGCCCGGCUGGAGAAACAUUC
Molecule: small nucleolar RNA, 137 nt
Organism: Clarias gariepinus (North African catfish)
Lineage: Eukaryota; Metazoa; Chordata; Actinopteri; Siluriformes; Clariidae
Product: small nucleolar RNA SNORA84
Exons: 1
Source: RefSeq, a predicted model, not a curated record